AGCGUUAAUCGGAAUUACUGGGCGUAAAGCGUGCGUAGGCGGUUUGUUAAGCAAGAUGUGAAAGCCCAGGGCUCAACCUUGGAACUGCAUUUUGAACUGGCAAACUAGAGUAUUGUAGAGGGUGGUGGAAUUUCCAGUGUAGCGGUGAAAUGCGUAGAGAUUGGAAGGAACAUCAGUGGCGAAGGCGGCCACCUGGACAAAUACUGACGCUGAGGCACGAAAGCGUGNNNAGCAAACAGGAUUAGAUACCCUGGUAGUCCACGCCGUAAACGAUGUCAACUAGCUGUCUGUAGACUUGAUCUGUGGGUAGCGAAGCUAACGCGAUAAGUUGACCGCCUGGGGAGUACGGCCGCAAGGUUAAAACUCAAAUGAAUUGACGGGGGCCCGCACAAGCGGUGGAGCAUGUGGUUUAAUUCGAUGCAACGCGAAGAACCUUACCAUCCCUUGACAUCCACAGAACUUUCCAGAGAUGGAUUGGUGCCUUCGGGAACUGUGAGACAGGUGCUGCAUGGCUGUCGUCAGCUCGUGUUGUGAAAUGUUGGGUUAAGUCCCGCAACGAGCGCAACCCCUAUCCUUAUUUGCCAGCGAGUAGUGUCGGGAACUUUAAGGAGACUGCCGGUGAUAAACCGGAGGAAGGUGGGGACGACGUCAAGUCAUCAUGGCCCUUACGGGAUGGGCUACACACGUGCUACAAUGGCAAGUACAGAGGGCAGCAAUAUCGCGAGAUGGAGCGAAUCCCACAAAGCUUGUCGUAGUCCGGAUCGGAGUCUGCAACUCGACUCCGUGAAGUUGGAAUCGCUAGUAAUCGUGGAUCAGAAUGCCACGGUGAAUACGUUCCCGGGCCUUGUACACACCGCCCGUCACACCAUGGGAGUGGGUUGCAAAAGAAGUAGCUAGUCUAACCUUCGGGGGGACGGUUACCACUUUGUGAUACAUGACUGGGGUG
RNAcentral lists this ribosomal RNA (946 nucleotides) under uncultured bacterium. RNAcentral's name for it is "bacterial SSU rRNA". It matches the Rfam family "Bacterial small subunit ribosomal RNA", at positions 537 to 1482 of the family's 1533-position model. The record is from RNAcentral.